AGAGAGGAAGCAGUGAUGUUUUCAAUAGACUAUGUUUCCAUCUCAACAACUCCAAACAAGGAAUCACAAGUUCAAAUUCCAGGAGAGUUGGGUCAGCCUUUCAUCUCUGGGAGCCAAGAGAGUUUUCACUGCACCAUAGAGGAAGGAUGAUCCUGAAGUAGAAAACAGCAGGGGCAUGAAGGACCAGGUGGAAAGGAGGUUCCUUUAUACCAUGACAUCUUCAAAUCCAGAGCAGUGGAAAGAAUCUGCAAUGUGGAGUGACCAAAGGGAUGGACAUCUGAGGUGAGAAUGCUGCUUUUUUUGACCUGUAAGCCGGGAGAUUGUGGGGCAUAAUUUGUUUGGCCUACCCACAGUUAUCCUCAAUAUCUUGAGGAUGGUGGAUCCCUCCCCACCAGCGGGCUUACCUUCUGAGCCUUGGGCAUGUCGGUGUGGCGCUGGGCACGGACUGA
This is a long non-coding RNA of Mirounga angustirostris (Northern elephant seal), 449 nucleotides long. RefSeq lists it as uncharacterized. The transcript has 4 exons. The record is from RefSeq and is a predicted model, not a curated record. Lineage: Eukaryota; Metazoa; Chordata; Mammalia; Carnivora; Phocidae.